RNAcentral lists this ribosomal RNA (468 nucleotides) under uncultured bacterium. Its description in RNAcentral is "partial 16S ribosomal RNA". It matches the Rfam family "Bacterial small subunit ribosomal RNA", at positions 28 to 507 of the family's 1533-position model. The record is from RNAcentral.
GACGAACGCUGGCGGUGUGCUUAACACAUGCAAGUCGAACGGUAAGGCCCUUUCGGGGGUACACGAGUGGCGAACGGGUGAGUAACACGUGAGUAACCUGCCCUCAUCUCUGGGAUAACAGUCGGAAACGGUUGCUAAUACUGGAUAUGAGCUUGCAAGGCAUCUUGUGGGUUGGAAAGAUUUUUUUUGGUUGGGGAUGGACUCGCGGCCUAUCAGCUUGUUGGUGAGGUAGUGGCUCACCAAGGCUUCGACGGGUAGCCGGCCUGAGAGGGCGACCGGCCACAUUGGGACUGAGAUACGGCCCAAACUCCUACGGGAGGCAGCAGUGGGGAAUAUUGCACAAUGGACGGAAGUCUGAUGCAGCAACGCCGCGUGCGGGAUGACGGCCUUCGGGCUGUAAACCGCUUUCAAUUGUGACGAAGCUUUUUUGUGACGGUAGCAGUAGAAGAAGCACCGGCUAACUACGUG